GAAUCAUGUCAGUUGGUGAGAGCGUGGUGCUGAUAACGUCAAGAUUGCAGGUUCAAUUCUUGUAUGAGACA
Molecule: non-coding RNA, 71 nt
Organism: Podarcis lilfordi (Lilford's wall lizard)
Lineage: Eukaryota; Metazoa; Chordata; Lepidosauria; Squamata; Lacertidae
Source: the annotation of a GenBank genome assembly